UACGGGGGGGGCAAGCGUUGUUCGGAAUUACUGGGCGUAAAGGGCUCGUAGGCGGCCAACUAAGUCGGAUGUGAAAUCCCCAGGCUUAACUUGGGAACUGCAUCCGAUACUGGAUGGCUUGAAUCCGGGAGAGGGAUGCGGAAUUCCAGGUGUAGCGGUGAAAUGCGCAGAUAUCGGGAGGAACACCGGUGGCGAAGGCGGUUCUCUGGGCCUUACCUGACGCUGAGGAGCGAAAGCGUGGGGAGCGAACAGG
RNAcentral lists this ribosomal RNA (253 nucleotides) under uncultured bacterium. RNAcentral's name for it is "partial 16S ribosomal RNA". It matches the Rfam family "Bacterial small subunit ribosomal RNA", at positions 524 to 776 of the family's 1533-position model. The record is from RNAcentral.